Molecule: ribosomal RNA, 502 nt
Filed under: uncultured bacterium
Lineage: Bacteria
Description: partial 16S ribosomal RNA
Rfam family: Bacterial small subunit ribosomal RNA
Source: RNAcentral
AUUGAACGCUGGCGGCAUGCCUUACACAUGCAAGUCGAACGGCAGCAUGGGUGCUUGCACCCGAUGGCGAGUGGCGAACGGGUGAGUAAUGCAUCGGAACGUGCCCUGAAGUGGGGGAUAACGUAGCGAAAGUUACGCUAAUACCGCAUAUUCUGUGAGCAGGAAAGCAGGGGAUCGCAAGACCUUGCGCUUUAGGAGCGGCCGAUGUCGGAUUAGCUAGUUGGUGAGGUAAAGGCUCACCAAGGCGACGAUCCGUAGCGGGUCGGAGAGGAUGAUCCGCCACACUGGGACUGAGACACGGCCCAGACUCCUACGGGAGGCAGCAGUGGGGAAUUUUGGACAAUGGGCGCAAGCCUGAUCCAGCCAUGCCGCGUGAGUGAAGAAGGCCUUCGGGUUGUAAAGCUCUUUCGGUGGGGAAGAAAUGGUUUCGGUUAAUACCCGGAGCUGAUGACGGUACCCGCAUAAGAAGCACCGGCUAACUACGUGCCAGCCGCCGCCGUAA